RNAcentral lists this ribosomal RNA (253 nucleotides) under uncultured bacterium. RNAcentral describes it as "partial 16S ribosomal RNA". It matches the Rfam family "Bacterial small subunit ribosomal RNA", at positions 524 to 776 of the family's 1533-position model. The record is from RNAcentral.
CACGUAGGGCGCGAGCGUUGUCCGGAAUUAUUGGGCGUAAAGAGCUCGUAGGCGGCCUGUUGCGUCCGCUGUGAAAGCCCGGGGCUUAACCCCGGGUCUGCAGUGGAUACGGGCAGGCUAGAGGUAGGUAGGGGAGAAUGGAAUUCCCGGUGUAGCGGUGAAAUGCGCAGAUAUCGGGAGGAACACCUGUGGCGAAGGCGGCUUUCUGGGCCUUACCUGACGCUGAGACGCGAAAGCGUGGGGAGCGAACCGG